This 90-nucleotide signal recognition particle RNA is filed under the name Rhodospirillaceae bacterium. RNAcentral describes it as "signal recognition particle sRNA small type". It matches the Rfam family "Bacterial small signal recognition particle RNA". Rfam says of the family: The signal recognition particle (SRP) is a universally conserved ribonucleoprotein involved in the co-translational targeting of proteins to membranes. Archaeal SRP consists of a 7S RNA and homologues of the eukaryotic SRP19 and SRP54 proteins. In most bacteria, the SRP consists of a 4.5S RNA and the Ffh protein (a homologue of the eukaryotic SRP54 protein). Lineage: Bacteria; Pseudomonadati; Pseudomonadota; Alphaproteobacteria; Rhodospirillales; Rhodospirillaceae. The record is from RNAcentral. RNAcentral also lists the same sequence under 2 other names.
GGCCCGAAACGGACAAGCGUAUCGCCAACCCGGUCAGGUCCGGAAGGAAGCAGCCGUAACGAUUAUUGUUUGGGUCGUCUUCGGUCCUCC